RNAcentral lists this ribosomal RNA (497 nucleotides) under uncultured bacterium. Its description in RNAcentral is "partial 16S ribosomal RNA". It matches the Rfam family "Bacterial small subunit ribosomal RNA", at positions 28 to 507 of the family's 1533-position model. The record is from RNAcentral.
GAUGAACGCUGGCGGCGUGCCUAAUACAUGCAAGUCGAGCGAACAGACGAGGAGCUUGCUCCUUCGACGUUAGCGGCGGACGGGUGAGUAACACGUAAGUAACCUACCUAUAAGACUGGGAUAACUUCGGGAAACCGGAGCUAAUACCGGAGAAUAUUUCGAACCGCAUGGUUCGAUAGUGAAAGAUGGCUUUGCUAUCACUUAUUGAUGGACCUGCGCCGUAUUAGCUAGUUGGUAAGGUAACGGCUUACCAAGGCCACGAUACGUAGCAGACCUGAGAGGGUGAUCGGCCGCCGGGGAGAUGGGACACGGACCCAACUCCUAAGGGAGGCAGGGGUAAGGAAUCUUCCGGAAUGGGCGGAAGGCUGACGGACGCAAGGCGCGUGAGUGAGAAAGGGCUUCGGCUCGUGAAACUAGAUUAUUAGGGGAGAACGAACGUGUUAGUACCUGUGCACGUCUUGACGGUACCUAAUCAGAAAGCCACGGCUAACUACGUG